AUGCUCCCGCCGGCGCCCAGCCUCCAGCGACAUGACUGUGCUCCCGUCGGCGCCCAGCCUCCAACGGCGCGGCUGUGCUCCCGCCGCCGCCGACCUCCAGCAGCGGGGUGGCGCGUCCUCCAACGGCCCUGUCGGAGUUCGGGCGGGUCGUGGAGGCCAGCGACGCAGUGGCGCGGAUCCAGCAGCAACGUCGUGGUUGUCCCGGCGAGGAGGUCGUUCACCAGGCACUGCUGGAGCACGGCCCUGAACAUAAAAGGCAAGCAAGGUGAGACGUACAUGCGCGUACAGGAGCUCCUUGACAUGAAGCUGCGCACGAAGCCUGUUGACAUGAAGCUGCUCCAGCUCUGCGUGCGCGUGGUCGGGGCGUGUGUUCAAGCCAAGUCUUCGUGUUGGAGCUCGCCAUGCCCAGGCCCGCCAUGCUGGCGCGGCCGGCCUACCGUCCCCGCUCGCACGCCUCAGCGUUGGAGCUUUCCGCGCUCGGCCGCGCCAUGUUCGCCGCGCCCGGCCGCCAUGCUUGCCGCGCUCACCGUGCCGUGCCGAGCCGCGGUCGCCCUGCCUUGUCUCACACACCCGCCGUGCUGCCCUGCUCGCGCGUGUCCGCGUUGGAGCUCGUGCGCCCGCCGCCUCCACUCUGUAGCUCGACCGCCGGCUUCGCCUCGUGCCCGGCCGGAGCUGCUCGAGCAGGUGGUCGCACCCGCCAGGCGCAGAGGCGCACCUCGUACGAGCUCGCGUGGCUGCAACUUGUCCUGGCCAUGGUCAACGUGCACCCCAGUGCGAGCUAUCCUGCCUGCUAAGUGUUCGAGGAAAUGCCGAGACGGACAUGCAAAAAAUGUGUCCACCUCUUGUUGGGCACACAUGCCAACCCAAAUAAAAAAGAGGAUGCAGACAGGCGGACGGGCGACCCAAACGAACAAAAAACAGACAAAAUCGGUGUUCGUUUGGGUCACUCCGUUGGAGUUGCUCUUAUUGUACAAUCUCAGACCAUCUCACAGUAUGACUAUAUAA
RNAcentral lists this ribosomal RNA (1005 nucleotides) under Triticum aestivum (bread wheat). Its description in RNAcentral is "partial small subunit ribosomal RNA". The record is from RNAcentral. Lineage: Eukaryota; Viridiplantae; Streptophyta; Magnoliopsida; Poales; Poaceae.